RNAcentral lists this long non-coding RNA (574 nucleotides) under Pongo abelii (Sumatran orangutan). Its description in RNAcentral is "lincRNA". Lineage: Eukaryota; Metazoa; Chordata; Mammalia; Primates; Hominidae. The record is from RNAcentral.
GUUUUUGUAUUUUUAGUAGAGACAGGGUUUCAGGAUGUUAGCCAGGAUGGUCUCGAUCUCCUGACCUCGUGAUCCGCCCGCCUCGGCCUCCCAAAGUGCUGGGAUUACAGGCAUGAGCCACCACGCCAGGCCUAAUAAAGGACAAUUUUUAAUAGCCACUGGACUAUUUAAAUUAUCUAUUCUUCUGUCAGUUUCUUUUACCAUCAGAGGAUACAGCAGCAAGGUGCCAUCCUAGAAGCAGAGAGCAGACCCUUACCAGACAACCAACCAGCUGGUGCCACGAUCUUGGACUUCUCAGCCUCCAGAACUGAAGCAAUUGUCCAAUUAUUAGUGAAAUUGUCAUUUCAUGCUAUCGGCUAUUUGAAAUUCCUCCUCUAAUUUCAGAUUAACUCACUGAAAUUGACAUCGGCCAGUCUGAAUUUCAAGAAAUUACCUGCUGGAGACAAGAGGGAUCUCUUCUUCAGAUUUGCAGUCUGGGGAAGACAGCCUCUAUUGUACUUUAGAACCUGAGAUAUGGUGGUGGAGGGAGCCCUGGGUCAGUAGGAGUGGGGUCGGAGUGGUAAGAUUCACCCUU